ACGCUCUUGUUUCUCUUCAGAUCGUACAAAUCUUUCGCCUUUUACUAAAGAUUUCCGUGGAGAGGAACAGCAAGAGUUUGUCUCAAUUUUUUGACGUCCUGCUCAAAGCGGGGCU
Small nuclear RNA from Parambassis ranga (Indian glassy fish), 115 nucleotides. Its record names the gene U5. It matches the Rfam family "U5 spliceosomal RNA". From Rfam's summary of the family: U5 RNA is a component of both types of known spliceosome. The precise function of this molecule is unknown, though it is known that the 5' loop is required for splice site selection and p220 binding, and that both the 3' stem-loop and the Sm site are important for Sm protein binding and cap methylation. Lineage: Eukaryota; Metazoa; Chordata; Actinopteri; Ambassidae. The record is from Ensembl.